Molecule: ribosomal RNA, 308 nt
Filed under: uncultured bacterium
Lineage: Bacteria
Description: bacterial SSU rRNA
Rfam family: Bacterial small subunit ribosomal RNA
Source: RNAcentral
GACGAACGCUGGCGGCGUGCUUAACACAUGCAAGUCGAGCGGUAAGGCCCUUUCGGGGGUACACGAGCGGCGAACGGGUGAGUAACACGUGGGUGACCUGCCCUCAGCUCUGGGAUAAGCCCGGGAAACUGGGUCUAAUACCGGAUAUGACUCCAUGACGCAUGUUGUGGGGUGGAAAGCCUUGUGCGGCUGAGGAUGGGCCCGCGGCCUAUCAGCUUGUUGGUGGGGUGAUGGCCUACCAAGGCGACGACGGGGUAGCCGGCCUCGAGAGGGCGGACCGGCCGACACUGGGACGUGAGACACGGCCC